This 436-nucleotide unclassified non-coding RNA is filed under the name uncultured Bartonella sp. RNAcentral's name for it is "partial 16S-23S ribosomal RNA intergenic spacer". The stretch from base 1 to 70 matches the Rfam family "tRNA". The record is from RNAcentral. Lineage: Bacteria; Pseudomonadati; Pseudomonadota; Alphaproteobacteria; Hyphomicrobiales; Bartonellaceae.
UUGUAGCUCAGUUGGUUAGAGCGCGCGCUUGAUAAGCGUGAGGUCGGAGGUUCAAGUCCUCCCAGGCCCACCAGUUUAUCCAUUACUUUCAUAAGUGCUUUUAAAAAAUAAGUACUUCUAAAAAGAUUGCUUCUAAAAAGCUUAUCAAAAUUGGCAGGCUUAUUGCUUUUGUGUGAGUAAUCCAAAGUUAAAGCAAAUUAAUGGCAAAAAAACAGUUCAAAUGCUAAAUACUAAGGAGUCAAAAUUCCUUGCAAAGUGAUUUUUACAGCGUCCAUUUGGUUGAUAUAAAUUCCAAAUGCUCAUAGACGUCAAUGCCUAUAUGAAACUAUCGGUUCAAUCAUAUCGCUUUGAGUUAUAUAGAUUUUGUAAUCCCUCUUUUGAUCGUUUUAAACGCUUUAUUCUGAUUUAGGGGCCGUAGCUCAGCUGGGAGAGCACC